This 916-nucleotide ribosomal RNA is filed under the name uncultured bacterium. RNAcentral describes it as "bacterial SSU rRNA". It matches the Rfam family "Bacterial small subunit ribosomal RNA", at positions 56 to 978 of the family's 1533-position model. The record is from RNAcentral.
UGCAAGUCGAACGGCAGCACGGGAGCUUGCUCCUGGUGGCGAGUGGCGAACGGGUGAGUAAUGCGUCGGAACGUACCGAGUAAUGGGGGAUAACGCAGCGAAAGCUGUGCUAAUACCGCAUACGCCCUGAGGGGGAAAGUGGGGGAUCGCAAGACCUCACGUUAUUCGAGCGGCCGACGUCUGAUUAGCUAGUUGGUGGGGUAAUGGCCUACCAAGGCGACGAUCAGUAGCGGGUCUGAGAGGAUGAUCCGCCACACUGGAACUGAGACACGGUCCAGACUCCUACGGGAGGCAGCAGUGGGGAAUUUUGGACAAUGGGGGCAACCCUGAUCCAGCCAUUCCGCGUGAGUGAAGAAGGCCUUCGGGUUGUAAAGCUCUUUCAGCUGGAACGAAACGGUACGCUCUAACAUAGCGUGCUAAUGACGGUACCGGCAGAAGAAGCACCGGCUAACUACGUGCCAGCAGCCGCGGUAAUACGUAGGGUGCGAGCGUUAAUCGGAAUUACUGGGCGUAAAGCGUGCGCAGGCGGAUUGUUAAGCAAGAUGUGAAAUCCCCGGGCUUAACCUGGGAAUGGCAUUUUGAACUGGCAGUCUAGAGUGCGUCAGAGGGGGGUGGAAUCCCACGUGUAGCAGUGAAAUGCGUAGAGGUGUGGAGGAACACCAAUGGCGAACGCAGCCCCCUGGGAUGACACUGACGCUCAUGUACGAAAGCGUGGGUAGCAACAGGAUUAGAUACCCUGGUAGUCCACGCCCUAACGAUGUCACUGGUUGUUGGGGGAGUGAAAUCCCUUAGUACGAAGCUAACGCGUGAAGUUGACCGCCUGGGGAGUACGGUCGCAGAUUAAACUCAAGGAAUGACGGGACCGCACAGCGGUGGAUGAUGUGAUUAUUCGAUGCACGCGAAACUUACUACCUUG